This 94-nucleotide transfer RNA is filed under the name Deltaproteobacteria bacterium HGW-Deltaproteobacteria-8. RNAcentral's name for it is "tRNA-Sec". It matches the Rfam family "Selenocysteine transfer RNA". The record is from RNAcentral. RNAcentral also lists the same sequence under 1 other name. Lineage: Bacteria; Deltaproteobacteria.
GGAAGCGUAUCGUCACCGGUGUGGCGCCUAGACUUCAAAUCUAGUGGAACGUCGAGAGGCGUUCGGUAGGUUCGACCCCUAUACGCUUCCGCCA